This 267-nucleotide ribosomal RNA is filed under the name unidentified gamma proteobacterium groupD. RNAcentral describes it as "partial 16S small subunit ribosomal RNA". It matches the Rfam family "Bacterial small subunit ribosomal RNA", at positions 1106 to 1373 of the family's 1533-position model. Lineage: Bacteria; Pseudomonadati; Pseudomonadota; Gammaproteobacteria. The record is from RNAcentral.
UAUCCUUAUUUGCCAGCGCGUAUGGCGGGAACUCUAAGGAGACUGCCGGUGAUAAACCGGAGGAAGGUGGGGACGACGUCAAGUCAUCAUGGCCCUUACGGGAUGGGCUACACACGUGCUACAAUGGCAGGUACAGAGGGCAGCAAUACCGCGAGGUGGAGCGAAUCCCACAAAGCUUGUCGUCGUCCGGAUUGGAGUCUGCAACUCGACUCCAUGAAGUCGGAAUCGCUAGUAAUCGUAGAUCAGAAUGCUACGGUGAAUACGUUC